RNAcentral lists this ribosomal RNA (610 nucleotides) under Listeria monocytogenes. RNAcentral describes it as "partial 23S ribosomal RNA". It matches the Rfam family "Bacterial large subunit ribosomal RNA", at positions 587 to 1195 of the family's 2925-position model. Lineage: Bacteria; Bacillati; Bacillota; Bacilli; Caryophanales; Listeriaceae. The record is from RNAcentral.
UAAUGGGUGAUAGCGUGCCUUUUGUAGAAUGAACCGGCGAGUUACGAUUUGUUGCAAGGUUAAGCGGAAAAAGCGGAGCCGUAGCGAAAGCGAGUCUGAAUAGGGCGCAUAAGUAACAGGUCGUAGACCCGAAACCAGGUGAUCUACCCAUGUCCAGGAUGAAGGUAAGGUAAUACUUACUGGAGGUCCGAACCCACGCACGUUGAAAAGUGCGGGGAUGAGGUGUGGGUAGCGGAGAAAUUCCAAUCGAACUUGGAGAUAGCUGGUUCUCUCCGAAAUAGCUUUAGGGCUAGCCUCGAGGUAAAGAGUCAUGGAGGUAGAGCACUGUUUGGACUAGGGGCCCUUCUCGGGUUACCGAAUUCAGAUAAACUCCGAAUGCCAUGUACUUAUACUCGGGAGUCAGACUGCGAGUGAUAAGAUCCGUAGUCGAAAGGGAAACAGCCCAGACCACCAGUUAAGGUCCCCAAAUAUAUGUUAAGUGGAAAAGGAUGUGGGGUUGCUUAGACAACCAGGAUGUUGGCUUAGAAGCAGCCACCAUUGAAAGAGUGCGUAAUAGCUCACUGGUCGAGUGACCCCGCGCCGAAAAUGUACCGGGGCUAAACAUAUUACC